RNAcentral lists this ribosomal RNA (497 nucleotides) under uncultured bacterium. RNAcentral describes it as "partial 16S ribosomal RNA". It matches the Rfam family "Bacterial small subunit ribosomal RNA", at positions 28 to 507 of the family's 1533-position model. The record is from RNAcentral.
GAUGAACGCUGGCGGCGUGCCUAAUACAUGCAAGUCGAGCGAACAGACGAGGAGCUUGCUCCUCUGACGUUAGCGGCGGACGGGUGAGUAACACGUGGAUAACCUACCUAUAAGACUGGGAUAACUUCGGGAAACCGGAGCUAAUACCGGAUAAUAUAUUGAACCGCAUGGUUCAAUAGUGAAAAACGGGUUUGCUGUCACUUAUAGAUGGAUCCGCGCCGCAUUAGCUAGUUGGUAAGGUAACGGCUUACCAAGGCAACGAUGCGUAGCCGACCUGAGAGGGUGAUCGGCCACACUGGAACUGAGACACGGUCCAGACUCCUACGGGAGGCAGCAGUAGGGAAUCUUCCGCAAUGGGCGAAAGCUUGACGGAGCAACGCCGCGUGAGUGAUGAAGGUCUUCGGAUCGUAAAACUCUGUUAUUAGGGAAGAACAAAUGUGUAAGUAACUAUGCACGUCUUGACGGUACCUAAUCAGAAAGCCACGGCUAACUACGUG